Molecule: ribosomal RNA, 482 nt
Filed under: uncultured bacterium
Lineage: Bacteria
Description: partial 16S ribosomal RNA
Rfam family: Bacterial small subunit ribosomal RNA
Source: RNAcentral
AUUGAACGCUGGCGGCAUGCCUUACACAUGCAAGUCGAACGGUAACAGGUCUUCGGAUGCUGACGAGUGGCGAACGGGUGAGUAAUACAUCGGCACGUGCCCGAUCGUGGGGGAUAACGAAGCGAAAGCUUUGCUAAUACCGCAUACGAUCUACGGAUUAAAGCCGGGGACCGCAAGGCCUUGCGCGAACGGAGCGGCCGAUGACAGAUUAGGUAGUUGGUGGGAUAAAAGCUUACCAAGCCGACGAUCUGUAGCUGGUCUGAGAGGACGACCAGCCACACUGGGACUGAGACACGGCCCAGACUCCUACGGGAGGCAGCAGUGGGGAAUUUUGGACAAUGGGCGAAAGCCUGAUCCAGUCAUGCCGCGUGCAGGAUGAAGGCCUUCGGGUUGUAAACUGCUUUUGUACGGAACGAAAAGACUCUGGUUAAUACCUGGGGUCCAUGACGGUACCGUAAGAAUAAGCACCGGCUAACUACGUG